This is a long non-coding RNA of Tympanuchus pallidicinctus (lesser prairie-chicken), 434 nucleotides long. RefSeq lists it as uncharacterized. NCBI's taxonomy places the organism in Eukaryota, Metazoa, Chordata, Aves, Galliformes, Phasianidae. The record is from RefSeq and is a predicted model, not a curated record. The transcript has 3 exons.
ACGGCCUGAACCUCUGAUUGAUUUCCUGAGGCGAGCAAUGAGUCAGCCAGAGGAGCACAGGUGAAGGCAAUUCAGCUGUGCUGCUGGAAGGGGUGGAGCCUGGUUCCACCCCUCCUAGACCCAUUUAAGAGUUGGCUACAAGUGGGGAAGGAUCUCUUCUGGAGAUCCCCUUUUCUGGUGUUUUUUGUGGGUGAGCCUAGCAUAAGGCUAUUCAGUGUUGCAAGGAAGCAGCAGAUCCAUUCCACUUUGGAGAUGAUGAUACUGAUUAGGCUAUUGCUGGUAGAUGUAGUGAAGAAUUUUUCUCUUGCUGUUGGAAGCAUUGAAAUAUAUGUCUAAUAUACAAGAGCAUUUGAAAAAUCUUUGAAUGCAACAGUGGAACUUGCUAGAUUCAGUGGAGAUCGAAACCAACAGAGACAGGAAGUUUGGCAUAUCUU